This 7326-nucleotide long non-coding RNA is filed under the name Sorghum bicolor (sorghum). RNAcentral's name for it is "long non-coding RNA (SBIC_LNC006523)". The stretch from base 4225 to 4331 matches the Rfam family "Plant small nucleolar RNA R71". The record is from RNAcentral. Lineage: Eukaryota; Viridiplantae; Streptophyta; Magnoliopsida; Poales; Poaceae.
AGUGGUUAAAAGAUAGAACAGUCUAGUCAAGUGCCAUGUCUCUUAUUCUUGAUCAGCUAUAGCUCUGGAGUUUUUGCAGAUUUUCAAAUAAAACUCAGAGAUUCCUUGUAUGACUCUCUCAGAUCUCUCUUUUGUGGUAUUUCUGGAUCCUUACCAAGGCAGUGAUGGUAUAUUCCUUCUCUCAAAAUAUGUGGUAUUUAUGGUAUAAAGCAUAAUGACAUUGCCUUCUCUCUCACCCUACUCUAAUAAGGCUUUAAUAUCUGGAGCUCAUAGGUGGGAGAUAAAGUAUACAUACUUACAAGACAUUUAUUGCAUAGUCAAACCAUGGAUCCAAAUAAACAAAUCAUUAAGUCAAAUCAAGAUGUGCAUGUGUGGCGAAUGAAUGGUGUACGGUGAUGAUGGUGAUAACAAUGGUGAAAGUCUAAUUCUACUUUUUGCUCUUUGAGGGGAUACAUACCUUCCUUGCUUUCUGAAACUUUAUGAGGAGAAUGAGAUGUUCUUCUUUUUCUUUUCUCUCGGGUGGGUAUCCUGUACCCCUAAUUCUACUAUUGGACACUUGUCCAUUUUUACCUCUCGUCUCACUUUUUCUUUACUUUUGAGGUUCCGGGCACUUGCCCCUUUUUAUGUCCUCGUAUCUUUUUUUUAGAACACUCAUCUCUUGGGAUAAUAUAGCAAGUAGUACUAACAAGAUAACUUGAGCAUUUAUUUCACAGGAAAAAACAAUAUUUUUGGUCAUUCUCUCCCGGAUUAGGAGUAGAAUACUUUUUAGGUGAUUCUUGAGAUGAAAAUGGGUGGAUAUAUGUGGAUGGUACUUCCGGAGUAGAAGCAGCAUAUGUGAGUGAACGUGCAAGUGAAUCUUAAUUUAACCACAUGACAAGCUCCUAAGGGUCUACACAACUUGACCACACUCGAUGCUCAUAAGCAAUAAAUAGUAAAUGUGUGGCUCAAAGUCUAGCAAGCAUGUAUAUAUGGCUGUGGUAGGAAUUUAAACUCUCAUCAUACAGGAACUCAUCAUGCAAUAUUUUAAAGAUUUUUCAAAGAUAAAAUUCUCUAGAAUUCUAGCAUCUCUAGGAACAGAUAAACAGCAGCUCAACCUUCCCAUAUCAUAUCCUUUAACAACUUAGACUUCAGAUCAAGUUUUCUUCCCACAAGUUUAGGUUUAGAGCAAGCUUUAAAUUAUAACAGUUAUGUCUAAACUUGAGAGAACUUCAAAUUUUAAAAUUAGGUAGAGCAACUAUUCAUCAUAUCCAUGCUAGAGGUUUAUUAUUAAGAUUCAGAUUAGCAUAGCCACUUUGUUUAUUUAUCAAACACACUAAGUAAAAGGCAUAUAAGCAUAAAAUCUUUAUUUGGUUUUUCAUGGUUAUGUAUAUCUAUAUUUUAAUAUAGUAUAAGUAUAAAGAUAGAUAGAUAGAAAUACUUAUUGGGAUAAAUGGGGGUGCUCUCCCCCAAGCUGAAUUUUGACGUAAUUUCUCUUGAUGUAGCUAGGAUGUGGCAGAGGUGUAUUUGAAAGUCAGCAGCAUUCUGACAGCGAUUACAAUGUCCUCCGUCUGCUAGUCUUCUUGAUUCUUAAAUUAUGUGGAGCUCAAAUAGACAACAAAGCUUGUGGAACUGAUUAAAUGUUAGCAUAAAUAUCUAGCCUUUAUCAUGUUGAGACUCCUCAAUAAAUGUUACUCCCUAUUUUUAUAUUUUCAUUUUAUAAAGCAGAAAAAUAUUUAUUUUAUUUUUAUGCCACCACAGUGAAUGUACUUAUGAGUUUUAUGCCACUCGUAUACUCACAUGGGGCUUACUGUUUUUCACAUUUUUAUUUUCUUUUUAGGAUAGUAUGAACAUAAUUAACUAAGUAGACUAUUUGAAAUAAUUGAAAGGGAAAUGAUAACUACCAAGUUUACCUCUUGGCAAGGCGUUCGGUGUUUUUAAGUCCUCCGAACGGGACUCUCCUCUUUCUCAAUUGUCCUGGGAUUCGUUGGGUGGCGUAGUCGGUACUUACAGCAGCGCCUCCUCUUCAUGCAUAGUUAUCUUCUCUUUCCAUACCUGACUCGGUGCUACGGUCUCCUCUGGAUAAUUCUGUUUAAACUGUACGUCUCCUGACCUUACAACUUCUCCUUCAUAGUCUGACCCAUCCAUCCUUGAUGAUUUCCCUCCUCUGGUUGCGGUUGCGUCGUUUUCUGACCUGCUUAGAUUCUUCAAAGAUGUAAUUAGGGUCAGUAAAACAACGGCGUACCAUCUCUGAGGGGAAGUGCAUAUGGACUUCUCCGGUUCCAAUGUAGAUGAUUGCUUUAACGGUGCUGAGGAACGGUCUUCCAAGGAUGAUGGGUGGAUCGUAUUCGUCUUCUCCCAUGUCAAUAACCAGAAAGUCUAUGUAGACAAAAUGAUCAUCUAUUUUGACAGGGACAUCAGUUACUGUUCCUUUAACUUCUCAAAACAUAUGAUCUGCCAUCUGGAGCUGAAUGUAUGUUGGUUUUAAGGGCAUGGUUCCGAACAAGAGCCAAUAGGUGACUGCGGCCAUUAUGUUGUCGCCUGAUCCAGUGUCGCAAGUCAUCUUGUAGAAGUUGUAUCCAUUUAGGGAGCAAUAGAUGCUUGGCAUUCCUGGGUCGUCCUUCUUGGUCAAAAAUGGUGACUUAAGUUGUUGAUUUUGGCCUCCAUGAACUACAGUGACCAUCUUAGCUGACUCGGUCCACACUUGCUUGUUCAUGUUCCUCCUGUUGGUCCUCUUCCUUGAUUUAUGUCUGGAUUGAUCUGGCAUUUGUGUAAUCUUGUUCUUGAAGAAAACAUCUCCUUCCUCCCUUUGAUGUAGAAACUGAUCUUGGCAGCACUGGCGUAGAUGACAGCUCCUGAGGUGUUUAAGAAUGGCCUCCCUAGGAUGAUAGGUGCUCUCUCAUCAUUGCCAGUCUCUAUCACCACGAAUUCUGCUGGGGCAUAUAAGGUACCAACUCGGACACAAAGGUUCUUCAAUAUUCCUUUUGGAAAACCUUGAUUUAUGUCUGGAUUGAUCUGGCAUUUGUGUAAUCUUGUUCUUGAAGAAAACAUCUCCUUCCUCCCUUUGAUGUAGAAACUGAUCUUGGCAGCACUGGCGUAGAUGACAGCUCCUGAGGUGUUUAAGAAUGGCCUCCCUAGGAUGAUAGGUGCUCUCUCAUCAUUGCCAGUCUCUAUCACCACGAAUUCUGCUGGGGCAUAUAAGGUACCAACUCGGACACAAAGGUUCUUCAAUAUUCCUUUUGGAAAACUUAAUCCUGAUCUGCAAACUGCAAACACAUGGUUGUCUCUAAUAAAGGAUAUGUAAAGAAUUUUUCAUAGAGUACCCUAGGCAUAAUGUUGACACUAGAGCCAAAGUCGCAGAGUGCUUCUGGGACGUCCACCAUGCCGAUGGCGAUCGGGAUGACGGGGCGUCCUGGAUCACCUGUCUUGACCAGCAGAAGGUCAGUAGUAACUUCAGUGACGGGGUUACUCCAAUUAUUACCUGCAUCAAACAUGUCUACAAGAUUUGCAGUUUCUAAUCCUCCCGGUUGUCAUGGUAUACCGGGGUUAGUAGCAGGAACAGCAGCAGCUAUUUGAUUUAAUUGAGAUUCAAUCAUUUUAUUAAAGCUAAUUUGAUUCUUGAUGGCAGUAGAGAUAUUAUCCAUUCUAUUAUUUAUAUUUUCUAGCAUUUUAUCAUUUGAUGCCAAUUUCUUAGAUAGGUUAUCCAUUAGCUUUCCUUGAUUAGACACUAACUCUCUCAGAGGUGGAAAAUUAUUAUUAUUGUUGUAAGAAUUGUUACCUUGAUAAUUACCUGAGUAGUUAGGCCUCUGUUGAUUCCAACCUUGAUUUUGUUGAGGACGGUUGUAGUAGUUAUUGUUGUUAUUGUUGAUGUAGUUCACAUCCUCAAGCAUCUCAGGGCAGUGAUUGCCUGAGUGUCCAGUGUCUCCACACUCCUCACAAGUCAUGUGAGAGUCGUAGAUGUGCAUAACUUCUUUCUUAUCUCCAGCUCUAUCAUCAAGCUUCUUAAUGAGCGGGUCUAGCUUUGCAGACAACAUGUCUACCUCCUUGAGCUGAUGCAUACCUCCACCUCUCUUGCGUGUCUGGGUCCUCUCUUCAUUCCAGCCUUGGUUGGACGCCAUCUUCUCCACAAGAGCUGUGGCUUGUGGUAUGGUGAGUGAUAAGAAUGCUCCUCCAGCUGCAGCAUCCAUGGUCUCUCAGGCACUGUUGCCGAGCCCAUGAUAAAACGUCUGCAUUAGUAGCCAACUCUCCAUUCCAUGACGGGGACAUUCUAGGAUGUAGUCUUGGAAGUGCUCCCAUGCUUCUGGAAUGGAUUCAUCAUUUUAUUGUUGAAAACUUGUAAUCUUCCAACGGAGAGCAUUGGUCUUGCCCAUGGGAAAGAACUUAGCCAGGAAGUUUGUUGAGCAGAGUGCCCACGUAGUAUUCUUCUCCUUUGUAGCGUAAAACCACUGCUUCGCUCUCCCUAACAGUGAGAAUGGGAAGAGGCGAAGUAGUAUAGCAUCUCUGGGGACUCCUGAUAUGGUAAAUGUGUUGCAAAUCUCCAGGAAGUGUUGGAGAUGAGCACUAGCAUCUUCGUGUGCCUUCCCACAGAACUGGUUGGAUUGCACCAUGUGGAUAAGUCUAGGCUUGAGCUCAAAGUUGCCAUCGAUCUCUGCAGCAGGUCCAGUGCGGAUGUUGUCCGUAGUGGGAGCUGAGAACUCACAGAUCAAUUUGUUCGCCAUGGCUUCGAACUCUGAAGACAAGUUCUGGUGAUCUUCUUGAUUGGAUGAAGCUUCUUGUUGUAGUGUUGAUGAUCUCUUCUUGAGUUUGGCUCUUGUUUUUCUGAAUAACGCUUCGGGAUUGUCAACAAAAUUACCUGGAAGAUGUCUUCUAUUCAUACAUUCCCCUACAUAAGAUAAAAUAGAAAAAUAUCGGGGUAAAACUGUAUGAGAGAAUAGAAAAGAUCAAUCAUAUUAGUGAUGCGAAUGAUAACUCAAAAUCCUUUAUUCAUUCCUGAUUAGUAAUCAACCUUCCCCGGCAACGGCGCCAAAAAUGCUUGUUGGGUAUUCUUAAAAUCAUUACCAAAAGUAGACUUAGUUUUUUAAUUCUGAUAACGGUGCUAAAAAUGCCAAACCUAUCUCUCAUACCACUUAAGCCAAGUUGUCAUCCCGAGCAUGACAUGAGAGAUGCGGUAUUGAAAUAUUCAAUUGCUCUUCUAAAUAAAUAAUGAAUGGGAUAUGCAAGCGCACAGAUUAAUACUGAUGUAGCAUUUUAACCGGGAAGUAUUCCAGGUAUCGUUAUUUAUAUUUUUACCACUGGGAAGGGAUUAACAAUCAUCAAUAUUGAUUACAGAAUAGAAUAUGAGAUUGAGUAUCUAUCAUUGCAUGUAUAAUUGAGAACAUUUAUCUAACUCUUUCAUACAGGGAUAAGUGUCACAUAAAAGAUAUAUGAAGUAAUGAAUAGUGACAAAGAUAAUUAAUCUGAUCAGCAUAACUUAGCCACAUAUAAAUAUGAUAAGCACCUCAAUUAGAUACUCUAGAAAGUCAUUAGCAUGGUAUUAGAACGAACUACAAGAAUAUUUCCUAAGUUAUUCUCAACUAUAUAGUCUAGCUUUAUCAUAGUUAGUGCAAGCAUACUUAGCAAUCAUUGUGAGACAAGACUACGCCCAUGCAUAGUGAUAUUAGCAAGGUAAAUCAGAAACAUAGCAAUCACUCCCCUGUAAUAAUGUUGCUCUGCCAGCCCAAUACACGAGAGGGGGACUAUAUAAGAAUAAAUGAAGCUGUCACUAUCACGAACUACCCCACGAUCUGGCAUAUUGGGUACAAUCGCAGAUAGAUACGGUAUAAGCACCACGCCUACACAGUAUCUAUCAUUUACCCAUGGAUCCGAUGGAUAAACACUAUACGAUCCUAAACAUGUAUAUAGAUCCAAUCUAACUAAGCCAAGUAUAUAACUAUGAUAAACUAAGAACAAUAUAAUCUUGAAUAUAAGCAAGUAGAGCAAAGUCAUAAGCAAUAUAUUGAAAUAGAACAAAGUCAUAUUCAUAAUAUUGAAGAACAAAGAUAAUUAGAAGAACAAUUAGAAGCACAAUUAGAGAAUUACCAAGAAUCCUCUUGACAGAUCUGGAAACCAAUCAAAGAUUGACUCCUUCUAGUUCUAAUCCUAUGUAGCUAUGCUAAUCUAGAUAUCUAAUUGAUGGGGUGGCUCUAAUCUUGAUCAAAGGCUACUUCUCCCUUGAGGAAUAAUGUAUUAGGGUUGAGAGGCUCUCUCCUCCAGGGGCCAGGGGGUCUGGUUUUAUAGUCCCUUCAAGUGAAUAUGGGCCAUUGGAUCAAACCGACAUUAAUUGAACGGUUAUCCUUGAUCCUUUAGGUCAGUGGAGAUCUUUCCCGAGAGAGAGUCCUGUUUGGACUCCACAGGGGGGCGGGCGCCCUGGUCUCCUAGGCGGGCGCCCAGGGCCAGGCCCCGUUCGGCCUCGGCUUCCUUCCCGUGGCUUCUGGAGUCUUCUAGAAGUAAGAUAAUUGCACGACACGUUGAUAUCUCUAUGUAAUCCCAACGUGUGGGCCUUUCUUCCGUAUUCCCUGAUAACCCCCUACAGAAAUAGACAAACACCAAAAGUCGUGGAAUUCUAUCAGAUAAAACCCUAAGUCUGGAUGUUGAUUUCAUUUGGAUCCUUUUCUUUGUUUAUUUGAUAAUUAGAUUUGAUACUUAAGGACCGUCAACAAACUCCCCCAAGCUUACCUCUUGCUCGUCCUUGAGCAAGGAUAAUCUCAGCGAUGGAUCAGAAGUUGUUGCAAUAUCUUUGAAAAUUGACGGUACACAUGCUUUUUAAAUAAGAUCUCAUCUCUGAGUUAGAGUAAACUAUCAAGACUUAAAACUUACUUACUUUACCUUCACCAUGGGACUUGUAACCGUCACUUCUGUCUUGAGUAGUUAAAAGAUAGAACAGUCUAGUCAAGUGUCGUGUCUCUUAUUCUUGAUCAGCUAUAGCUCUGGAGUUUUUGCAGAUUUUCAAAUAAAACUCAGAGAUUCCUUGUAUGACUGUCUCAGAUCUCUCUUUUACGUUAUUUCUAGAUCCUUACCAAGGCAGUGAUGGUAUAUGCCUUCUCUCAAAAUAUGUGGUAUUUAUGGUAUAAAGCAUAAUGACAUUGCUUUCUCUCUCACCCUACUCUAAUAAGGCUUUAAUAUCUGGAGCUCAUAGGUGGGAGAUAAAGUAUACAUACUUACAAGACAUUUAUUGCAUAGUCAAACCAUGGAUCCAAAGAAACAAAUCAUUAAGUCAAAUCAAGAUGUGCAUGUGUGGCGAGUGAAUGGUGUAUGUUGAUGAUGGUGAUAACAAUGGUGAAAGUCUAAUUCUACUUUUUGCUCUUUGUGGGG